RNAcentral lists this ribosomal RNA (519 nucleotides) under uncultured bacterium. Its description in RNAcentral is "bacterial SSU rRNA". It matches the Rfam family "Bacterial small subunit ribosomal RNA", at positions 26 to 518 of the family's 1533-position model. The record is from RNAcentral.
AGGACGAACGCUGGCGGCGUGCCUAAUACAUGCAAGUCGAACGGUCUUUCUAUGGAAGCUUGCUUCCACUGAGAAGAUAGUGGCGAACGGGUGAGUAACACGUGGGUAACCUGCCCAUAAGAGGGGGAUAACAUCCGGAAACGGGUGCUAAUACCGCAUAGUUUUCUUGAUCGCAUGAUUGAGAAAGGAAAGACGGCCUUUGUGCUGUCGCUUAUGGAUGGACCCGCGGCGUAUUAGUUAGUUGGUGAGGUAAUGGCUCACCAAGACGAUGAUACGUAGCCGACCUGAGAGGGUGAUCGGCCACAUUGGGACUGAGACACGGCCCAAACUCCUACGGGAGGCAGCAGUAGGGAAUCUUCCGCAAUGGACGAAAGUCUGACGGAGCAACGCCGCGUGAGUGAAAGAAGGUUUUCGGAUCGUAAAACUCUGUUGUCAGAGAAGAACAAGUUGGAGAGUAACUGCUCCAGCCUUGACGGUAUCUGACCAGAAAGCCACGGCUAACUACGUGCCAGCCGCCGC